This 634-nucleotide ribosomal RNA is filed under the name uncultured bacterium. RNAcentral describes it as "bacterial SSU rRNA". It matches the Rfam family "Bacterial small subunit ribosomal RNA", at positions 115 to 734 of the family's 1533-position model. The record is from RNAcentral.
ACGUGGGUAACCUGCCCAAGAGACUGGGAUAACACCUGGAAACAGAUGCUAAUACCGGAUAACAACACUAGACGCAUGUCUAGAGUUUGAAAGAUGGUACUGCUAUCACUCUUGGAUGGACCUGCGGUGCAUUAGCUAGUUGGUAAGGUAACGGCUUACCAAGGCAAUGAUGCAUAGCCGAGUUGAGAGACUGAUCGGCCACAUUGGGACUGAGACACGGCCCAAACUCCUACGGGAGGCAGCAGUAGGGAAUCUUCCACAAUGGACGAAAGUCUGAUGGAGCAACGCCGCGUGAGUGAAGAAGGGUUUCGGCUCGUAAAGCUCUGUUGGUAGUGAAGAAAGAUAGAGGUAGUAACUGGCCUUUAUUUGACGGUAAUUACUUAGAAAGUCACGGCUAACUACGUGCCAGCAGCCGCGGUAAUACGUAGGUGGCAAGCGUUGUCCGGAUUUAUUGGGCGUAAAGCGAGUGCAGGCGGUUAAAUAAGUCUGAUGUGAAAGCCUUCGGCUCUACCGGAAGAAUUGCAUCAGAAACUGUUGAACUUGAGUGCAGAAGAGGAGAGUGGGAACUCCAUGUGUAGCGGUGGAAUGCGUAGAUAUAUGGGAGAAUACCAGUGGCGAAGGCGGCUCUCUGGUC